GUGACUUUUGAAUAAAUUUUGUGAAGUUUGUGAGUUUGAGGUUGAACUCAUGACCUAGAUGGACUAUUCGGGCCGGUUAGGGUUUGGUCGAAGUCAGUCCAACUUAGUCUGAGGUCACCAAGUUUGUAGGUUCAUGUUAUGAACCAAUUUUGUGAAUCCGGUUCACCGAGAAGGUGACCAAGUUUGUGACCCGAGCUUGUGACUCAAGCUCAAGUUUGUG
This 220-nucleotide long non-coding RNA is filed under the name Coffea arabica (coffee). Its description in RNAcentral is "long non-coding RNA (CARA_LNC005142)". The record is from RNAcentral. Lineage: Eukaryota; Viridiplantae; Streptophyta; Magnoliopsida; Gentianales; Rubiaceae.